AUGGAGCCCGGCCGGCUCAUCUUCAACACGUCGGGCUCCGGCAACGGACAGAUGCUCUUCAUGGACUGCGGCGCCGGCGGCAUCGCCGGCGCGGCCGGCAUGUUCCAUCGAGGGGUGAGACCGGUCCUCGGCGGCAUGGAAGAAGGGCGCGGCGUGAAGCGGCCCUUCUUCACCUCGCCGGAUGACAUGCUCGAGGAGGAGUACUACGACGAGCAGCUCCCGGAGAAGAAGCGGCGCCUCACCCCGGAGCAGGUCCACCUGCUGGAGAGGAGCUUCGAGGAGGAGAAUAAGCUGGAGCCGGAGAGGAAGACGGAGCUGGCCCGCAAGCUCGGGCUGCAGCCACGCCAGGUGGCCGUCUGGUUCCAGAACCGCCGCGCCCGGUGGAAGACAAAGACGCUGGAGCGCGACUUCGACCGCCUCAAGGCGUCCUUCGACGCCCUCCGGGCCGACCACGACGCCCUCCUCCAGGACAACCACCGGCUCCGGUCACAGGUAAAUAAUCGAAGUCAACAACCACGCUUCAUCACCGGCCGGGCACCGGGGCUUCCGCCGCUGAGUUUGAUUUGGGAGAUCCAUCCAUCUUUGUGCCGUCAGGUGGUAACGUUGACCGAGAAGAUGCAAGAUAAGGAGGCGCCGGAAGGCAGCUUCGGUGCAGCCGUCGACGCCUUGGAGCCGGAGCAGGCGGCGGCGGAGGCGAAGGCUUCCUUGGCCAACGCCGAGGAACAUGCCGCGGCAGCGGAGGCGUUCGAGGUGGUGCAGCAGCAGCUGCAUGUGAAGGACGAGGAGAGGCUGAGCCCGGGGAGCGGCGGGAGCGCGGUGCUGGACGCGAGGGACGCGCUGCUCGGGAGCGGAUGCGGUCUCGCCGGCGUGGUGGACAGCAGCGUGGACUCGUACUGCUUCCCGGGGGGCGCCGGCGGCGACGAGUACCACGAGUGCGUGAUGGGCCCCGUGGCGGGCGGCAUCCAGUCGGAGGAGGACGACGGCGCGGGCAGCGACGAGGGCUGCAGCUACUACCCCGACGACGCCGCCGUCUUCUUCGCCGCCGCGCAAGGGCACGGCCACCAUCACACGGACGACGACGAUCAGCAGGACGACGGCCAGAUCAGCUACUGGAUGUGGAACUAG
Molecule: ribosomal RNA, 1125 nt
Filed under: Triticum aestivum (bread wheat)
Lineage: Eukaryota; Viridiplantae; Streptophyta; Magnoliopsida; Poales; Poaceae
Description: partial small subunit ribosomal RNA
Source: RNAcentral